CAAUAGCAUAUAUUAAAGUUGUUGCAGUUAAAAGCUCGUAGUUGGAUUUCUGGCAUGAUGCGCCUGGCCCGCCUCAAUUCUGAGUGUGUGUGCGAGUGCGCGUCUGCCAUCCAUUUGCAGAAUGUGCCUACUCUUCAUUGAGCCGGGUACGUGAUGUAAAUCUUUUACUUUGAAAAAUUAGAGUGUUUAAAGCAUGGACAUUUGCUAUGAAUACAUUAGCAUGGAAUAAUAAUCUAGGACUUCGGUUCUAUUUUGUUGGUUUCUAGAUCUGAAGUAAUGAUUUGAUAGGGAUAGUUGGGGUGCUAGUAUUAAGGGCCAGAGGUGGAAAUUCUUGGAUUCUCUUAAGGACUAACUUAUGCGAAAGCAUUCACCAAGGAUGUCUU
This 383-nucleotide ribosomal RNA is filed under the name uncultured eukaryote. Its description in RNAcentral is "bacterial SSU rRNA". It matches the Rfam family "Eukaryotic small subunit ribosomal RNA", at positions 592 to 970 of the family's 1831-position model. The record is from RNAcentral.